Molecule: ribosomal RNA, 253 nt
Filed under: uncultured bacterium
Lineage: Bacteria
Description: partial 16S ribosomal RNA
Rfam family: Bacterial small subunit ribosomal RNA
Source: RNAcentral
UACGGAGGGGGCUAGCGUUGUUCGGAAUUACUGGGCGUAAAGCGCACGUAGGCGGCUUUGUAAGUUAGAGGUGAAAGCCCGGGGCUCAACUCCGGAAUUGCCAUUAAGACUGCAUCGCUAGAAUUGUGGAGAGGUAAGUGGAAUUCCGAGUGUAGAGGUGAAAUUCGUAGAUAUUCGGAAGAACACCAGUGGCGAAGGCGACUUACUGGACACAUAUUGACGCUGAGGUGCGAAAGCGUGGGGAGCAAACAGG